RNAcentral lists this ribosomal RNA (491 nucleotides) under uncultured bacterium. RNAcentral's name for it is "partial 16S ribosomal RNA". It matches the Rfam family "Bacterial small subunit ribosomal RNA", at positions 29 to 506 of the family's 1533-position model. The record is from RNAcentral.
AGUGAACGCUGGCGGUAGGCCUAACACAUGCAAGUCGAACGGCAGCACAGUAAGAGCUUGCUCUUACGGGUGGCGAGUGGCGGACGGGUGAGGAAUACAUAGGAAUCUACUUUUUCGUGGGGGAUAACGUAGGGAAACUUACGCUAAUACCGCAUACGACCUACGGGUGAAAGCAGGGGAUCUUCGGACCUUGCGCGAUUGAAUGAGCCGAUGUCGGAUUAGCUAGUUGGCGGGGUAAAGGCCCACCAAGGCGACGAUCCGUAGCUGGUCUGAGAGGAUGAUCAGCCACACUGGAACUGAGACACGGUCCAGACUCCUACGGGAGGCAGCAGUGGGGAAUAUUGGACAAUGGGCGCAAGCCUGAUCCAGCCAUACCGCGUGGGUGAAGAAGGCCUUCGGGUUGUAAAGCCCUUUUGUUGGGAAAGAAAAGCAGCAGGUUAAUACCCCGCUGUUCUGACGGUACCCAAAGAAUAAGCACCGGCUAACUUCGU